AACGAACGCUGGCGGCAUGCCUAACACAUGCAAGUCGAACGAGACCUUCGGGUCUAGUGGCGCACGGGUGCGUAACGCGUGGGAACCUGCCCUUAGGUUCGGAAUAACUCCCCGAAAGGGGUGCUAAUACCGGAUCAUGUCUUCGGACCAAAGAUUUAUCGCCAUUGGAUGGGCCCGCGUUGGAUUAGCUAGUUGGUAGGGUAAAAGCCUACCAAGGCGACGAUCCAUAGCUGGUCUGAGUGGAUGAUCAGCCACACUGGGACUGAGACACGGCCCAGACUCCUACGGGAGGCAGCAGUGGGGAAUGUUGGACAAUGGGCGAAGGCCUGAUCCAGCAAUGCCGCGUGAGUGAUGAAGGCCUUAGGGUUGUAAAGCUCUUUUACCCGGGAUGAUAAUGACAGUACCGGGAGAAUAAGCGCCGGCUAACUCCGUG
Molecule: ribosomal RNA, 433 nt
Filed under: uncultured bacterium
Lineage: Bacteria
Description: partial 16S ribosomal RNA
Rfam family: Bacterial small subunit ribosomal RNA
Source: RNAcentral